GAUUAUAUAUUAUAAAUGUAUAAUAAGUUGAGUUUGUAACUCAAAGAUACUUCCUAAAAGUUUUAAUCA
RNAcentral lists this transfer RNA (69 nucleotides) under Gordionus alpestris. RNAcentral describes it as "tRNA-Thr". Lineage: Eukaryota; Metazoa; Nematomorpha; Gordioida; Chordodea; Parachordodidae. The record is from RNAcentral.